This 254-nucleotide ribosomal RNA is filed under the name uncultured bacterium. RNAcentral describes it as "partial 16S ribosomal RNA". It matches the Rfam family "Bacterial small subunit ribosomal RNA", at positions 524 to 777 of the family's 1533-position model. The record is from RNAcentral.
UACGUAGGGCGCAAGCGUUAUCCGGAAUUAUUGGGCGUAAAGAGCUCGUAGGCGGUCUGUCGCGUCUGCUGUGAAAAUCAGGGCUCAACCCUGGACCUGCAGUGGGUACGGGCAGACUAGAGUGCGGUAGGGGAGAUCGGAAUUCCUGGUGUAGCGGUGAAAUGCGCAGAUAUCAGGAGGAACACCGGUGGCGAAGGCGGAUCUCUGGGCCGUAACUGACGCUGACGGAGCGAAAGCAUGGGGAGCGAACAGGA